GUCUAUGAUCUUAACCUGUAAGAAGUGGGAGCAGCUGGACCCGCCCCAGAGGACCCUGUACUAGGAGGUGACACCAGAGACCUGCAGACCCCUCGUCACUGGGGCGUGCAAACCGGAGUUGACCUACCAGCUGAAGCAGCGAUAAAAGAGCAGAAGACACCUUUGCCAAAACUGCUGUCCAGGUGACAAAGUAAAAACCAAGGCCAGCCAGCCUUGUCCCUGGAAAGACUAACUCAGGGAGCCAGAAGUUCCUCCAGGUUGAGGGACAAGAGAAUGAUGGUGAAGCUGUGUUGCUUUCCCAGGUGAGCCUUGAUUAUUUCCUCUGUGCUUUCUCAGCUGCUUUGGCCUUCUGUAACAAGGGCUUCUCCGAGAGCAUGUCACUAGUUUUCUAGAGGUUAAACAAGAGCUAAGACAAACAAAACAAAACAUAGCUUAUCUAAUCUAAUGAGAAACCCAGAAAAAAAUGUUUUGAUGAAUACAAUGUAUUAAAAUAUAAAAUAUGUAGCUCCUUCGACAUGUUAAUUCAAUUCUAGAAAUCUUCAGAAAUAUUCUUAUAUUAUGCAGAGAUGUGCGUGCGAAGACUAAUCGCUGCAGUUUUGUUUUUAUGUGUGAAACGUUGAGAACAAUCUAAAUGUUUAUCAGUAGGAAGUAAGUUAUGGUACAUCUGUUCUAUGAAAUACUAUGAAGCAAUAAGGUAUCUCUGUCUGUACUGAUAUCAAAACAUCUCUAAGAUACAGUAUUUAGUAAAAGAGAAACUUUCAGGAAACAAAACUACAUCUAGAAGUAUAAGCCUAAAACUGUUAAUAGU
Molecule: long non-coding RNA, 808 nt
Filed under: Macaca mulatta (Rhesus monkey)
Lineage: Eukaryota; Metazoa; Chordata; Mammalia; Primates; Cercopithecidae
Description: lncRNA (ENSMMUG00000057023.1)
Source: RNAcentral